Molecule: unclassified non-coding RNA, 299 nt
Rfam family: Metazoan signal recognition particle RNA
About the family: The signal recognition particle (SRP) is a universally conserved ribonucleoprotein. It is involved in the co-translational targeting of proteins to membranes.
Source: Ensembl
GCCGGGUGCGGUGGCGCGCGCCUGUAAUCCAAGCUACCGGGAGGCUGAGGCUGGCGGAUCGUUUGAGCUCAGGAGCUCUGAGCUGCAGCGGACUAUGUCGAUCGGGUGUCCGCACUAAGUUCGGUAUCGAUAUGGUGCUCCUGGGGGAGCCCGGGACCACCAGGUCGUCUAAGGAGGGGUGCACCGGCCCAGGUCGGAAACGGAGCAGGUCAAAGCCCCCGUGCCGCUCAGUAGUGGGAUCGCGCCUGUGAAUAGACGCUGUAGUGCAGCCUGAGUAAUACAGCGGGACUCAGUCUUUU